RNAcentral lists this long non-coding RNA (485 nucleotides) under Bos taurus (domestic cattle). RNAcentral describes it as "long non-coding RNA NONBTAT022011". Lineage: Eukaryota; Metazoa; Chordata; Mammalia; Artiodactyla; Bovidae. The record is from RNAcentral.
UUUAGCACAAUAGAUACAGACACCAAAAAAGGACAGCUAAAUUUUGAGAGAAAGCCACGCUAUUUAGGAAAUUAACCCUCUUUUUAAGCUGAAAUCGUUUCUUAAACUUUCUUAAGACGAUAAAUCCAUUUCAUAUUACAACCCAGAAUUCUUGUUAAUUAUGUUCCUUCCCAUUAAAGUAAGGAACAAGAAACUUUUUAAAAUCUUCACAUAUAUUAGCCAAAGGUUAGAUUAAAAAUACAUUAUGGCUUUUAACACUUGUGCUAUUCUGACUUUGAAGUGGGCAUAUUAAAACUCUAAGCUAUGGCAUAUACAUGGUUGCCGGGAACAUGGCAGAAUUGCUAUAGCAACACAAUCACUAGUUUUGCUCCUGAAAUGCCCUAUUUGAGUUGCAAGUAAUCUAGUGAAGAAUGGUCCUUGGACUCUUGUUUCUUAUUGCAGUUUCUAUGUGAGCCUAGGGGUGGGUAGCUUUCGAUCUUCUGAAA